GACGAACGCUGGCGGCGUGCCUAAUACAUGCAAGUUGAGCGCUGAAGGUUGGUACUUGUACCAACUGGAUGAGCAGCGAACGGGUGAGUAACGCGUGGGGAAUCUGCCUUUGAGCGGGGGACAACAUUUGGAAACGAAUGCUAAUACCGCAUAAAAACUUUAAACACAAGUUUUAAGUUUGAAAGAUGCAAUUGCAUCACUCAAAGAUGAUCCCGCGUUGUAUUAGCUAGUUGGUGAGGUAAAGGCUCACCAAGGCGAUGAUACAUAGCCGACCUGAGAGGGUGAUCGGCCGCAUUGGGACGGAGACACGGCCCAAACGCCUACGGGAGGCAGCAGUAGGGAAUCUUCGGCAAUGGACGAAAGUCUGACCGAGCAACGCCGCGGGAGUGAAGAAGGUUGUCGGAUCGUAAAACUCUGUUGGUAGAGAAGAACGUUGGUGAGAGUGGAAAGCUCAUCAAGUGACGGUAACUACCCAGAAAGGGACGGCUAACUACGUG
Molecule: ribosomal RNA, 497 nt
Filed under: uncultured bacterium
Lineage: Bacteria
Description: partial 16S ribosomal RNA
Rfam family: Bacterial small subunit ribosomal RNA
Source: RNAcentral